Molecule: long non-coding RNA, 2247 nt
Organism: Pseudophryne corroboree (corroboree frog)
Lineage: Eukaryota; Metazoa; Chordata; Amphibia; Anura; Myobatrachidae
Exons: 3
Source: RefSeq, a predicted model, not a curated record
UCCUGAAGAAUGCAAGCUAUGUGCGACGGAAGGCGGCUUGACAGAAAUCAGAACGAUACAAUAAAGGCACCUGAAUCCUACGUGUGUCUGUGGGGAGAACCCUUGCCUCUCUGCUUUGGUGUGGAGAAGGUGAAAGCAAUAGUGCUGUCAAAGACAGAGUGCUGCAGCAAGAGCAGAUUUCUAACAACCCACUACAACCAGCACAAACACUGAAUGCUGGAAUCUGGACUUUCAUGUACCAGCUGGCAAGAAGGCUGCCUCCUGAGGAUGAUGAUGGAGACUCGGCAGAGAUGAAGUAGCACUUCUUAUUGCUCCAGGCCAGUCGUCUGAAAAAAACAAAAUUGUUUAUUUGAUGAAAAGUGUUUUGUGAUAAAAAUAGCUCCUAAUUACCUAUGCAAGGGCAAUACUGGUAACUAGGCUCCAAAAUCUCCUAAAAUUGAAAAUCUGAUUCCUAUGAUUUUUCCACCAGUCCUCUCACCUAGCGGCUCUUCUACUUUGCAUACUGUAGGUGUCUUCCACGAGUCGUGAGUUGUGUGUAUGCAAUCGGAGGACCAUCCAGAUGCAAUGGUGUAAAAACUAGAGUAGGUGUAUUGAGAUUGAGAUAUGGUCCUUAGGUCGACCUCACUUAGGUCGACAGUCAAUAGGUGGUCCACUAUUGGUUGACAUGAAUUAGGUCGAAAUGGGUAUUAUGUCGACGUGGGCCAUAGGUUGACACAUGAAAAGGUCAACAUGAUUUUUUCACACUUUUUUUAUUUUUUUAAAACUUUUGCAUACUUUACGAUCCACACGGUCUACGAUCGGGAAUAAUGACCUGUGCCGAGCGUAGUGGUAGCAGAGCGAGGCACCUUGUCGGAAGCAUGGGGAACGGAGUGAGCCAUGCGAGGGGACACGGUGCACUAAUUGGGUUUCCCAGGCACUUUACGAAGAAAAUGACACCAAAAAAUAAAUAAACUCAUGUCGACCUUUUUCCAUGUCGACCUGAUGACCAUGUCGUCCUUUUCUAGGUGUCAACCUAGUGCCUGUUGACCAAUAGUGGUCAACCUAAUGAGUAUCGACCUAAAUAGGGUCGACCCAACAAUCCCAUUCCAUUCAGGGGCUGCUAGAGAGUUUAAUAUAUACCUGUUUGUGGAGUGAAUCUUGCAUGAAUUAACAUAAAAUAUGCACACGCAAGUACAGGAAAUGGAAUGUUACAUGCAUUUCUAUCACACGUACAAUUCUAAAGGCAGAUCUUGGAUGUUCUAAGUUAUUCUUAUAUAGGCAAAGUUCAGUGGGGGCUAGGAGAACAGUUAUGAUUUGCAACUAGUAUAGGAAGAUGCACGUGCAUGCUCAUUAUGAUGACUAGUAAAAAAAACAGGUGCACGUGCUACAGAUGCAGUUGCGUAAAGCUCUGCAUAUGGGCAAAAUCUAUGCGCUUUUUCCAUGUAUGCCUGUUUUGGGCAAUGUAAGUUCAAUUUGCUUCCAAUUCUGAAUCAUCCUUCUAAUGUGUUUCGUGUAUAGGGUUAAAUACUAAAGCUGAGUGCACACCUAUGCAAUAAUCAUAUCGGUGUAUAUGCAGCAGCAAUAGCCAGUGGUGCCGAGCGGGGGGUGUACUAAUUGGGUGGGCCCGGGUCGGUGCCCCCCCACCCCUUUUCUUUUAUCUUUCAGCUGCCAGCAGCCUAGUGGGCUCACAGCGCAGCUUGUAUCAUCUGUCUGUCAUGUUGGAAAGUGAUUACACACUGAUCACACCCUCCCCCCUACCUGGCUCUGACCCUCACUGAAGGGUACACGGUUCCCCCCUGUACAGGUCAGUGCUUCUUAAACAUCGAUUUAUUGUAGUUGGUUUUUUUUUAAAGGGGGUGUGGCCACACCACUGGGAUUAGGCCAUACCCCCUGCUUUACCGGGGCCCAGGAAAGGUCUCUACGGCCCUGGCAUUAGCCAAUAAACGACUACAAGUGCUACUGCAAUGGUUAGAUCGGGGGUCAGAAUUUUUUGCCCUGCUUAAAAAUUGCGAUAUCUGACCUCCUGAUCCCCUUGAUGAAAGUGCAUACACUGAGCUAAAAAUAGAUCAGUGUGUACAGGGUGCACAGUGAUCAGAUAAUCAUUCUGAGAAAGAGAGUGUAAAUCUGAGUGUGUACCCAGCUUAAGGCUAUGACAGAAACUUGUCAGGACCAAUGAUAGAAAUCAUGCUUUAUAACAAACGAAAAGAGUUGACAAAAAGAAUUUAACAGUCCUGGUUAUGCUCUACUAAAAUACAUUGAAAAAAAUAU